CCUCCCUUAGCUAAAAAUUAGGUCAUUCUCCCACCCAAAUCGCUCUCAGCCUCGUUCUCACUCAGCCUCGCUCUCACUCACCAUCAAUACCCCUCACCCUCAAUCCCGUUCACCCUUUCACCCUCGUCGAGCCUCUCAGCCUCUAUCUCACUCACUCUUGCUCUCACUCACACUCGAUACACUCUCAGUGGGCUGUCUCCGUCGAUCGAGACUCACCCUCGUUCUUCUUGGUUUAAAUCUUCUGGGUUUCAUAACUCAUCUUUGUUCUUAAAGACUUCACCUUUCUAUUUCUCUCCCUUCCAAUUCAAGACCUUUUUUAUUCUUCUUCACCUUGUCGCGCCACUGUUGCUCUGAAACUUUGAUGGGUUCUCUCUAAUUCCAACUCUUCUGGGGUCUUUCUGGAGCUGCUGAGCUUUUUGACUUGAGGGGGCUCAAAGUGACUUCAACCUCCGAUAUAGCAGACCCACUCAGGCAAAGAUUGAAGGGCAGAGAGAAGACGAUUCACACAGAUUUUAAGAUGACGAUGGCGGAGCUGAAUCUGCUAACCACCUGCACUUGUUAAUCCACAGAGGAGAGACUCUUCCUUCUUCCUCUCUCAACCCAAUUGCGUCUUCUACAGGCCAACUCGCUUCCAGAAACGAAUCCCCAAUUUGAGGUUAUUUCUGGGGUUUUGAUCUAAUUUUCUUCACAAUUAUACUUGAAUAUGCAAUUCGAUUGCCUUUUCCUUGCUAUGUGUUUGUAUGCAAAUGUUAAGUUUUCAACGGCAUGAGAAUUGAAGAGACCGUACAUUCAAUGUACAAUUUGGAAUACAAGUAAUUGAAAGAUAAUGAGAUAAUGUAGUUUUGUGUUAGGUAGGUGAUGAUUGACACUUCAUGAACAUAGAGAGGAGAAUUUGGCAGCUUAAUGUAGAUUGUUAUUGGUGUAAAAAUUGUUAGCUUAAUUUUUUCUCCAGCAAUUAUUACUCAAAGAUCAAAUGUGUUUAUAUCUCAUACCAUCAGGCGGUGCAUUUAUUGAAAAUUUGUGAUCAUUAGCUGAAUUGCAAUUUCAAUAAAUAAGCAUGGGCUUUCCAACUCUCAACAAUUGUGGCAUUGGAGAUAGAAUAUGAGGAGUAUGUCUUGUUUGCUGGUAUUAAUUUGUGGCUAUUUUCAAUUUUCUUGCUGAUUUGUAAAGUAAUAAGAUAGCUGUAAGCAUUAUCUGAAGGAGCUAGGACAUUUUGAAUUGAAUUUUGCUUUGUGAAAAUCAUGGGAAUGGUCUCAAAACUUAUGAUUAACAGAUAGUUGCUGCUCUUUAGUCCAACUAGUAGUACUAUCGUUACUCUCUAUCCAUGUUUGGCUUUCUGUUUUGCUUUGGGUUUAUGCUUUAGUUUGUUCGUUUCGUUUUACUUUUCCUUCAGUGUGGUUCUUAACUCAGGCGUGUACUGAUUGUAAAUUGCUUUCCUU
Rosa rugosa (rugosa rose) is the source of this 1439-nucleotide long non-coding RNA. RefSeq lists it as uncharacterized. NCBI's taxonomy places the organism in Eukaryota, Viridiplantae, Streptophyta, Magnoliopsida, Rosales, Rosaceae. The record is from RefSeq and is a predicted model, not a curated record. The transcript has 3 exons.